UGAAAGGCCGUGAAGGGGAAAGUAGGCGGUUCGCCGGUUUCCAGCGAGCCGGAGAGGGUGAGAGCCCGGUAACCGCGAGCCGGCCGAAAGCCACCCCGGAGCCUCCUGCCGAACGGCUUUGUAUACCCGAAGCCCAGUAGGCCAGGACGGAGGAGCCCCGUUAAAGGCCGGGCGUCUGCUUAGCGACGCCGUGAGGUGGGCCUUUCAGGCCAAAAAGGGUGGUACCGCGGGAAAGCCUCCCGUCCCUUGG
RNAcentral lists this non-coding RNA (250 nucleotides) under Moorella sp. (in: firmicutes). RNAcentral's name for it is "Moorella sp. T-box sequence". It matches the Rfam family "T-box leader". Rfam says of the family: Uncharged tRNA acts as the effector for transcription antitermination of genes in the T-box leader family. T-boxes are found upstream of many aminoacyl-tRNA synthetase genes and some amino acid biosynthetic genes usually in Gram-positive bacteria. The anticodon of a specific tRNA base pairs to a specifier sequence within the T-box motif, and the NCCA acceptor tail of the tRNA base pairs to a conserved bulge in the T-box antiterminator hairpin. Lineage: Bacteria; Bacillati; Bacillota; Clostridia; Neomoorellales; Neomoorellaceae. The record is from RNAcentral.